Molecule: ribosomal RNA, 203 nt
Filed under: uncultured bacterium
Lineage: Bacteria
Description: partial 16S ribosomal RNA
Rfam family: Bacterial small subunit ribosomal RNA
Source: RNAcentral
UACGUAGGGGGCAAGCGUUUGUCCGGAUUUAUUGGGCGUAAAGAGCGUGUAGGCGGUUUGGUAGGUCCGUUGUGAAAACUCGAGGCUCAACCUCGAGACGCCGGCGGAAACCAUCAGGCUAGAGUCCGGAAGAGGAGAGUGGAAUUCCUGGUGUAGCGGUGAAAUGCGCAGAUAUCAGGAAGAACACCCGUGGCAAGGCGGCU